This 2406-nucleotide long non-coding RNA is filed under the name Equus caballus (horse). RNAcentral's name for it is "lncRNA (ENSECAG00000050257.1)". The record is from RNAcentral. Lineage: Eukaryota; Metazoa; Chordata; Mammalia; Perissodactyla; Equidae.
CUUUUUGUUAUUGUGAAGUAAACUUUUUUUUUUUCGAGUAAGAGUGUCCCUGAGCUGACAUCUGUGCCCAUCUUCCUCCGUUUUAUAUGUGGGACGCCACCACAGCAUGGCUUGACGAGCAGUGUGUAGGUCCACGCCCAGGAUCCGAACUGGCAACCUCUGGGCUGCCGAAGCAGAGUGUGCGAACUUAACCACUACACCACUGGGCUGUACCCUGAGGCGGCGUCUGUGACCACUCCCCUUGAUCCUGGGCAGACAUCUAUGACCAAGACAACCAAGAGAGUGUGGUGGAAGUGACACUAUGUGACAUCUGAGCCUAGGUCCUAAAAGACAGCAUGGCUUCUGCCUGGUUCUGUCUCUCGGAAUGCUCGCCUCUGGAGCCCAGCUGGCACGCGGUGAGGAAGCCCAGGCUGCGUGGAUAGUUAACACGGGAGCAUUCUGGCCAAGAGCCAGCAUCAACCGCCAGGCGUGUGAAGGAGGAAGCUUCACGAUGACCCCAGCUCCAGCCACCAUCUGACCUCAGCCGCGGGAGAGACCCCACGCGGCAACCGCCUGGCCGAGCCCAGCCAGCUUCCAGAAACACGAGUGCUGCCAGUACUCCAUUAUCACGGUUUAUGUCCCUAAGUUUAGGGAGGUUUGUACGCAACGACAGAUAACUGAUUCACCCCGUCUCCCCAAGGGAAACUCAGUGCUGGCUUCUAACACCGGCGAUGAUUUUUCCCGAUUCUUUAUAUAAAUGAAAUAAUAAGAUACUCAGUCUCUGGGUUUCCUCUUUUACCAACAUCUGUACGUGGGACCAUCUUAUGAGAGUUUAACGAGUGGGUACACAUUUUGGCUUUCCGGCGACCGUCCUUUGAGGGUGCUGCAGUGGACAUUGGUUAUAACGGCCUGACCAACAUCCGUUCCCUUUUCGGGUUACAGCACCCCAAAUUCUCCCCUGCUCUUGGUCUGCGUGUUUUGGGUGCAGCUGGGUCCACCUGCCAGCUCUCUUGGGGUGAGCUCAUAACCCAGGCCUGGCUAAUGAGAGUCUUCCAUCUUUCUGAUCACAAUGAUUGUUCAGAAAUGGGCCUGUGACCCAAGCCUGGCCAAUGAGAGCUAGGGGGCGCUAUUGCUGAGACAGUAGGGAAGGGGAACUCCUUUUAUGAUGUGGUUUCCCACCUGGCAGAAUGUAAGGCAGAGCUGCUAGGGGAGCGUUGUGAGAGGAGAGCUUGCCUGAGAAUGAAGACAACACAGAAAGGAGGACAGACCCGGGAGAUGGAGAUGAAGACAGAAUCGUAACUACCUCCUUGGCCCUGGAUCCACCUGUGCCUGAAGGCAAACUUACUUGUUUCAGUUAGAUGAGCCCACAAACAUCUUUUUUGCUUAAGCCACUUUGAAUUUGGGUUUUCUGUCAUUUGUAGCCAAAAGAGUCCCAGUAGGGCGCUAUGCACAUAGAUUUUCUCAAAAAGCCCCAGUCACCAUUUCCAUUUGCUGGACUCAAUCCUCGUGUGGAAAAGGCCAUUUAACAGAGCAGCAGUCCCCAUAGUGUGGAGUCCGGACCAGGAGCAUCAGCUUCGCCUGGGGCCUUGUGAGAAAUGCAAAUUCUUGGACCCAACUUUAGUAGAUGGGUCCAGCACGAGGGUUCAAGGAAGCCCCCGGGGGCUGUGAGCUAAAGUUGGAGCAUCACCGGAGGAGAGCGCGGUGGUGAGGAAAGAACACGAGCUCGAGGUUCGAGUGGCAUCUCCGCCUCUGCCUGGCUCUCUGGUUUUAAACGGGGAAACUGAGGCCCAGAGAGGUGAAUCACUCGCUCAAGUUCGCCCCUCUCGAAGUUGCAGAGACGGGACUCAUAUCCAUGCUGUCUGGCUCCCUGGUCCUCACCCUUAACCAUGACUGUGUCAUCCCAGAGGGAGCGAAGAGAGGAGGGGAUGGGCUUGUGGCUGGGAGCAGAGGGGAAGCGCUAACUUAACCCCAGCACCUCCUGACCCUUCUGAAGUGCAGAGCGGAAAGGACCAGCCCCCGGUCACUCUCUCCCGCUCCCUGCUGGGGUCCCCCUCCAGGUCCUCCUUCCCUGCUCUAACCACGAGGCUGCACACUGCCAAAGGAGAACCUAUGAUAAAAGCCAGGCGGCAGGUGGAGAGCGCACGAUGUUCUCUAACAUAACCUCCUCCCGGAGCCUCCCCUCGCCAACAGCACCCUUCUCCCCGAGCCCUGGGAAAGCGCCCGGCGUUCUCUUCCAGCAAGCAGGGUGAUGAAUCUUGUCUUAAAAUGAAGACAUAAUUCUCCCAUGAUGUAAAGACCACAUCAGACUACAGACGAGAGGGGGGAAGUUGAGGAAACAAGAAAACAGUCGAUUUAGACAUUACUGGGUUUGCGGGGUUUUGGAAGGAAGACCACAGAGGGAAAGUGUCAUCUCGUCACAUCGUAUCA